This 72-nucleotide transfer RNA is filed under the name Camelus bactrianus (Bactrian camel). It matches the Rfam family "tRNA". Rfam says of the family: Transfer RNA (tRNA) molecules are approximately 80 nucleotides in length. Lineage: Eukaryota; Metazoa; Chordata; Mammalia; Artiodactyla; Camelidae. The record is from Rfam by way of RNAcentral. RNAcentral also lists the same sequence under 2 other names.
GAGGGUGUAGCUCAGUGGUAGAGCACGUGCCUAGCACGCGUGAGGUCCCGGGUUCAGUCCCCAGCACCUCCA